This 176-nucleotide unclassified non-coding RNA is filed under the name soil metagenome. Its description in RNAcentral is "partial internal transcribed spacer 1". The record is from RNAcentral.
ACGAGUUUUUAAUUGUUAGGUUUAGAGUUUGAGCUGGUUUAAUCUAAUUAAUAUGUGCUUUACUCUAAUCGAAAACAAGGUCCCACUCAUUACUUCAACACUUGUGAAACUUAUUCAUUACAAAACAUUAUUAUUUGUUUAUUGGAAACGUUUUGAUUAUUAAAAAAGUUUAAUAC